GACCAAGUAGUUGCAGGAACAUAGUUAUAGGAACAGUUCACUUCUAAACAGUUCUACUAACUAUUGUCCCCCAAAACUGGUUUUAACAUUUGCAUUCACACUGGCCAAGUGGCCAUAGGGACUAUUAGGAGGGGUAAGGGAUCCCAAAAAAAGU
Long non-coding RNA from Sander lucioperca (pikeperch), 154 nucleotides. RefSeq lists it as uncharacterized. The record is from RefSeq and is a predicted model, not a curated record. The transcript has 3 exons. Lineage: Eukaryota; Metazoa; Chordata; Actinopteri; Perciformes; Percidae.